RNAcentral lists this long non-coding RNA (266 nucleotides) under Cicer arietinum (chickpea). Its description in RNAcentral is "long non-coding RNA (CARI_LNC002751)". The record is from RNAcentral. Lineage: Eukaryota; Viridiplantae; Streptophyta; Magnoliopsida; Fabales; Fabaceae.
GCUUCAUAGGGAGGAUGACAAUGACGUUGAGCCAAAAACAAAAGUGAGACUCAUUGUUCCUAAUGGUUCUUGUGGCGGAAUAAUUGGCAAGGGAGGUGCUACCAUCAGAUACAAACCAUUUUCUUUUAUUAAGUUCUAGGUCCUACUUGUUUGCCACAUGCAUGAAAUUAGUAUGGAUCAAAGUAACUUUUGAUACUUAUGCUUUUUUAUUUGUGUUUUGGAAAUAUGUUUUGACUUGAAGAGGUUGUUUCUUAUAUGAAUGCUGG